RNAcentral lists this long non-coding RNA (262 nucleotides) under Prunus persica (peach). RNAcentral's name for it is "long non-coding RNA (PPER_LNC007479)". The record is from RNAcentral. Lineage: Eukaryota; Viridiplantae; Streptophyta; Magnoliopsida; Rosales; Rosaceae.
UCGUCCAAAAAGAAAUCGAUUAGUCCUUCAAUAAGAAAAGCCUCUCUGUUUAUCUUGCAGUUAAAAACUCUCAAAGUAUAUUUUUCCAGCAAAAUAAGAUUGAGAUGGGACAUAAUUGAACUCAUAUCCUAUGAUUCUUUCCCAUCCUACAUAUCCUAUUAUCUGCAUAAGAAGUAGGUGCAACAUCAUAUUUUUACUGUUAUACAAGCAUCACGUGAUCAAUUGAUGCAGUGACAUAAAAUAAAAGGAAAAGUAGUCAGAG